Molecule: ribosomal RNA, 292 nt
Filed under: uncultured bacterium
Lineage: Bacteria
Description: partial 16S ribosomal RNA
Rfam family: Bacterial small subunit ribosomal RNA
Source: RNAcentral
GUGUCAGCAGCCGCGGUAAUACAGAGGUCUCAAGCGUUGUUCGGAAUCACUGGGCGUAAAGGGUGCGCAGGUUGCGCGGAUAGUCAAUUGUGGAAUUCAAGGGCUCAACCCUUGGGCUGCACUUGAUACUUCCGCGCUCGAGCCCUGGAGAGGAGUCUGGAAUUCUCGGUGUAGCAGUGAAAUGCGUAGAUAUCGAGAGGAACACCAACGGCGAAAGCAAGACUCUGGACAGGUGCUGACACUCAUGCACGAAGGCCAGGGGAGCAAACGGGAUUAGAUACCCCCGUAGUCC